Molecule: ribosomal RNA, 456 nt
Filed under: Triticum aestivum (bread wheat)
Lineage: Eukaryota; Viridiplantae; Streptophyta; Magnoliopsida; Poales; Poaceae
Description: partial small subunit ribosomal RNA
Source: RNAcentral
AUGCUGAAAAUUGAUCUUGCUAAAGCUUUUGAUCGCCUAGAAUGGAAUUUCAUUGUGUCUGCUCUCACACGUAAAGGGUUGCAUCGUCAUUUCAUUAACUUGAUAUAUGCAUGCAUUUCCUUGCCUACUUUCUCUGUGCUCAUUAAUGGCCAGCCUUCUCAUAAAUUUAGAAGUUCUAGAGGUAUUCGUCAGGGCUGUCCUAUGUCUCCUUAUUUGUUUGUUAUUGCCAUUAAUGAGCUCUCUCUUGCCCUUAAUGAAGCUCUAGCUGCUCAACAUCUACAAGGAAUUUCGCUUGGACCAAAUUGCUCUCCUAUCCAUUCUUUGUUGUUUACAGAUGAUCUGUUGGUUUGUGGCCAAGCUAAUAUGUAGGAAGAAAAUUCUAUGGCUCAACUCUCAUCACUUUUGUUCUAUUUCAGGUCAAACUCCAAACUAGGCCAAAUCGGCUAUUCUUUUUAG